This is a ribosomal RNA of Saprolegnia parasitica CBS 223.65, 1341 nucleotides long. NCBI's taxonomy places the organism in Eukaryota, Oomycota, Saprolegniomycetes, Saprolegniales, Saprolegniaceae. The record is from RefSeq and is a predicted model, not a curated record.
ACUUUUCACGGCGCAUCUUUUUGGUCUUGACACCCGAUCGCUCAAAUCGGACUCCUUCAGGCCCAAAAUGACAUAUAUAGGUUCUGAAAGGUCCGAAAACGGUAUUUUGCCCAUAACUCCUCCAAAAGUUAAUAUUUUCCAACUUCUGAUAGCAUUUUUGGAUUCCCCGUGAAAUUUUACAUCUAGAUGCAUGACGAUCUCGCAUCCACGAGCAACUUGGUUUGGCGAACUAGACAUCGGCCAACAAAGUGGCGACUCGAUAAUACGACGUAACUAGUCGACCAUCCAGAAAGUGACUCCGCGAAGGCUUGAAACAUGAAAAGAUGCGCCUUAAAAAGUUAUGCAGCCUGUGCAGUCGUGGCGCGCUCAAAGCUUUCUGGUUGCCGAGAUACGAGCAUUUCCGUUUUGGGCCAUUUAGGGCCAACCGCUCGACAAACCUUCGAUAUCUGAUGAACGAUAAGGUUUCAGAGUCCGGGAACUAGUCAGUUGACUUCCCCUCGUCAAUACAAGAAUCGAGUGAAAAAAAAAUUUUCCGUCGAGGAGUAUCGAAUUUCACCAAGUGCCCGCCCAUACUGAAGCCAAGUCUAAUCUGCGGGCGAGAAUUCUUGGUGAAUUUUUCCAUCACUGUUUUACCUCGUACUUUGUGCCUGUAGCGUGUUUUGUAGUGUUUCUACCAUUUGGGAACGUGUAGCUUUGUGCCUACCUUUAUGGAGACCAAAGUGAAAAUUCAAGUUGGUCAACUAAAUGAAAAGACGAUCCUGAUAGGCGUAAAAAAAUUUUUUUUUUUGCGUCUAUAAUUUCUUAGUCCUAGUAGGUGCUUGUGGCUCUGCCGCCGGCGCUGGACGGGUUAAGGAAUAAAAAUAUGCCUGGGUUUCGGUAAUCCAGGUAGAAAAGGGAACGAUUUGUGAUGUACUUUUACGCUUCGGUGUGACUGUUUAAUUCAUGAUGAAUUCGUGCUGCUCUGGUGUUUCUUGCGCGGUAUCUCGGUACUGUUGCGGCUAUAUUCAUCAGCACAAGGAAGGUUGGCAUUGUAAACUGCCCGGGAGUUGCGCUAGCUUGCUGGUGUAAUUUCUCGGGUGAGUUUCGCAUUGCUAGCCUGGCAAAACAAUUUCAGUAAAACGAAUUUGUUGGCAUCUCGGUUAGGCUGCAGUUGAAAGGCUGUAGCUCGAACCUUGAUGCGAAUUGGAAAUCAUUCUCGGGAAAAUCAAAGCGGCUCCUCUCGGGGAGCUGCGGCGAAAUUCUUUUCGUGCAAUGAACUAGAACAGUAGAAGGACGGGUUGGGGCUUCCAUUACCUCUUGGGAUUCCUCGCUGCGGAAAGGUUUGAAUUGCUGCAAAUCGAA